RNAcentral lists this ribosomal RNA (429 nucleotides) under Pseudomonadota bacterium. RNAcentral's name for it is "Proteobacteria bacterium partial 16S ribosomal RNA". It matches the Rfam family "Bacterial small subunit ribosomal RNA", at positions 355 to 776 of the family's 1533-position model. The record is from RNAcentral. Lineage: Bacteria; Pseudomonadati; Pseudomonadota.
UGGGGAAUAUUGGACAAUGGGCGAAAGCCUGAUCCAGCCAUGCCGCGUGUGUGAAGAAGGUCUUCGGAUUGUAAAGCACUUUAAGUUGGGAGGAAGGGCAGUAAGCGAAUACCUUGCUGUUUUGACGUUACCGACAGAAUAAGCACCGGCUAACUCUGUGCCAGCAGCCGCGGUAAUACAGAGGGUGCAAGCGUUAAUCGGAAUUACUGGGCGUAAAGCGCGCGUAGGUGGUUCGUUAAGUUGAAUGUGAAAGCCCCGGGCUCAACCUGGGAACUGCAUCCAAAACUGGCGAGCUAGAGUAGGGCAGAGGGUAGUGGAAUUUCCUGUGUAGCGGUGAAAUGCGUAGAUAUAGGAAGGAACACCAGUGGCGAAGGCGGCCACCUGGGCUCAUACUGACACUGAGGUGCGAAAGCGUGGGGAGCAAACAGG